UGGGCAGUGGCCCUGUCUGGCUUUAAUCCCUUGGUCUGUUUAUUAUUAAUCUCAGAGAAAGCUCUAUAAUUAAGGGAUGUCUUUGUUUUGCAGCCAAAUAGUGAAGACUCUGGUUUUCCCUAUGAGAAGAUGCAGCUGGUUGGGAACUGGGGUUCAUUUCAUUUCCAUACCUGGAUAAUCCGUUAUGGACGAGUGCAGGUACUUCAGACAUAUUCUUAACAUUUGGGAACACACCUGUGUGUUUUAACUCCCAUUUUUCUCUGGGUUUUCUUUUGUAUAUCUGGUCCUAAUUGAAACCUAGGGUAAAGUUGUUGUACGAACAUCAUGUUGGCUCUAUAUCACUGCCAGUGGUGAUAGUCCAAACUGAAAUCGCCUGCCAAAUGAUAUAGAAAUCUACAGCUAAAAUAUACAGAGAGGUGUGCAGACUGAAGCCGUUUUUCUUUAUAGCAAAAUGAAGAGGACAUGCAUCACCUGUGCAUUGUGAGGGGAGUGGAGAAACAGCUGUGGUGGAGCAGAGUCAUUCAGAAAAAAAUCCUGGACCCAUGGGUGAGAGAUUCUCAACUGAUCUUUCAUCUCAAAUGCACCUGAUUUGUGUAAAAUGAUGCACAAAAUAUAGGGCUACUUAUAUUUCCUGAAUUAAAUGUAAUUUUUCCCUGUCUCUUUGAAAGGGUUUUGUCCAGGUGUUCCUCACCAACAUGGAGGUGACUGGUAUUAAGUUCCUUGGUAGAAGGAUCCAUGGACUCAGGUCUUGCCUCGUCAAGACGAGGUCAGAGUUCACCUAUUAUGAGGACGCCCAGCAGGUGGAUAUCUCCACCACAGUGGAGGGGUUCCAGGAGAGGGGGGAUGACAUGAUGGCGUAUCAGUUCUCUACCUCUGACAUUAUCACCAUCCCUCAUGAGCCGUCCUCUGGCUCCUCUCACCAGUUCCCCCAGGAUUCUCCACCUCCCCCUCCGCCUCCCCCGUUCCCUUCCGAUUCCCCUCCACCUUACCACUUCACCCAGGACCAGGCCCAGGACCAGACCCCUGACAGCACUCCUCAGGAGUUUGUGGAGGAGCAACAUAAUGCUGCAGAUGUGCCCCAGCUGUGGAGUUACUUUGGAAACCAAGGGACAACCAACUUCUCUCUGAGGCUGGCCGGUAUCCGACGUGCUAUGGAGGUGAGAAAGUGUGAAUUUACCACCAUU
RNAcentral lists this long non-coding RNA (1184 nucleotides) under Salmo trutta (river trout). RNAcentral describes it as "lncRNA (ENSSTUG00000041232.1)". The record is from RNAcentral. Lineage: Eukaryota; Metazoa; Chordata; Actinopteri; Salmoniformes; Salmonidae.